GUUUAUCAAAAACAUCGCCUCUUGUCCCUCAGAAUAUAAGAGGUCCCGCCUGCCCUGUGACUAUAUGUUUAACGGCCGCGGUAUCUUAACCGUGCGAAGGUAGCGUAAUCACUUGUCUUUUAAAUGAAGACCUGUAUGAAUGGCAUCACGAGGGCUUAACUGUCUCCCCUCUCCAGUCAAUGAAAUUGACCUCCCCGUGCAGAGGCGGGGAUAUCUUUAUAAGACGAGAAGACCCUGUGGAGCUUUAGACCUAAAAUAAACCACGUUUAAGAUACUAAAAUUAAUAGCAAAAACUUAGUGGACAAUUAUUAAAGUGUCUUUGGUUGGGGCGACCGCGGAGUAAAACACAACCUCCAUGUGGACGGGGAUACUAUCCCUAAAACUCAGAGCCUCCACUCCAAGCAACAGAAAUUCUGACCUAACUGAUCCGGUAUAACCGAUUAACGAACCCAGUUACCCCAGGGAUAACAGCGCAAUCCCCUCUCAGAGCUCAUAUCGACGAGGGGGUUUACGACCUCGAUGUUGGAUCAGGACAUCCUAGUGGUGCAGCCGCUAUUAGGGUUCGUUUGUUCAACGAUUAAAGUCCUACGUGAUCUGAGU
RNAcentral lists this ribosomal RNA (600 nucleotides) under Merluccius capensis (shallow-water Cape hake). Its description in RNAcentral is "partial 16S ribosomal RNA". It matches the Rfam family "Bacterial large subunit ribosomal RNA", at positions 1802 to 2610 of the family's 2925-position model. The record is from RNAcentral. Lineage: Eukaryota; Metazoa; Chordata; Actinopteri; Gadiformes; Merlucciidae.